Molecule: ribosomal RNA, 573 nt
Filed under: uncultured Acidobacteriota bacterium
Lineage: Bacteria; Pseudomonadati; Acidobacteriota
Description: SSU rRNA
Rfam family: Bacterial small subunit ribosomal RNA
Source: RNAcentral
CAGCUAGUUGGUGAGGUAAGAGCCCACCAAGGCAGAGAUCGGUAGCCGGCCUGAGAGGGCACACGGCCACACUGGCACUGAAACACGGGCCAGACUCCUACGGGAGGCAGCAGUGGGGAAUCUUGCACAAUGGGGGAAACCCUGAUGCAGCGACGCCGCGUGAGCGAUGAAGCCCUUCGGGGUGUAAAGCUCUUUCGUCAGGGAAGAUAGUGACGGUACCUGGAGAAGCAGCUGCGGCUAACUACGUGCCAGCAGCCGCGGUAAUACGUAGGCAGCAAGCGUUGUUCGGAGUUACUGGGCGUAAAGGGUGUGUAGGCGGUUCUUUAAGUUCGCUGUGAAAUCUCCCGGCUUAACCGGGAGGGUGCGGUGAAUACUGAGGGACUAGAGUACGGGAGAGGAAAGUGGAAUUCCUGGUGUAGCGGUGAAAUGCGUAGAUAUCAGGAGGAACACCGGUGGUGUAGACGGCUUUCUGGACCGUAACUGACGCUGAGACACGAAAGCGUGGGUAGCAAACAGGAUUAGAUACCCUGGUAGUCCACGCCCUAAACGAUGCAUAUUUGGUGUGGGCAGUUC